AGUGGUGCUCAUUUGUCGAAACUGUAAAUAGCCUCAGUUUUGCAUCUGUGUAUUCCUGG
Molecule: microRNA precursor, 59 nt
Filed under: Magallana gigas (Pacific oyster)
Lineage: Eukaryota; Metazoa; Mollusca; Bivalvia; Ostreida; Ostreidae
Description: Mgi-Novel-7_pre stem-loop
Source: RNAcentral